This 464-nucleotide ribosomal RNA is filed under the name uncultured bacterium. Its description in RNAcentral is "partial 16S ribosomal RNA". It matches the Rfam family "Bacterial small subunit ribosomal RNA", at positions 28 to 506 of the family's 1533-position model. The record is from RNAcentral.
GACGAACGCUGGCGGCGUGCUUAACACAUGCAAGUCGAACGGAAAGGCCCCUUUGGGGGUACUCGAGUGGCGAACGGGUGAGUAACACGUGAGUAACCUGCCCUUGACUUCGGGAUAACUUCAGGAAACUGGGGCUAAUACCGGAUAGGAAUCCUUGCUGCAUGGUGGGGGUUGGAAAGCUUCGGCGGUUUUGGAUGGACUCGCAGCUUAUCAGCUUGUUGGUGGGGUAGUGGCUUACCAAGGCUUUGACGGGUAGCCGGCCUGAGAGGGCGACCGGCCACAUUGGGACUGAGAUACGGCCCAGACUCCUACGGGAGGCAGCAGUGGGGAAUAUUGCACAAUGGGCGGAAGCCUGAUGCAGCAACGCCGCGUGCGGGAUGACGGCCUUCGGGUUGUAAACCGCUUUCAGCAGGGGCGAAGCUUGUGGUGACGGUACCUGCAGAAGAAGCACCGGCUAACUACGU